Molecule: ribosomal RNA, 406 nt
Filed under: uncultured bacterium
Lineage: Bacteria
Description: partial 16S ribosomal RNA
Rfam family: Bacterial small subunit ribosomal RNA
Source: RNAcentral
AUUGAACGCUGGCGGCAGGCCUAACACAUGCAAGUCGAGCGAGCGGCGGACGGGUGAGUAAUGUCUGGGAAACUGCCUGCUGGAGGGGGAUAAAUACUGGAAAAGGUAGCUAAUACCGCAUACUAUCAGAUGUGCCCAGAUGGGAUUAGCUAGUGGGUGGGGUAACGGCUCACCUAGGCGCCGAUCCCUCGCUGGUCUGAGAGGAUGACCAGCCACACUGGAACUGAGACCCGGCCCAAACUCCUACGGGAGGCAGCGGUGGGGAAUAUUGCACAAGGGGGGCAAGCCGGAUGAAGCCAUGCCGCGUGUGUGAAAAAGGCCUUCGAGUUGUAAAGCACGUUCAGCGGGGAGGCGUUACCCGCAGAAGAAGCACCGGCUAACUACGUGCCAGCCGCCGCGGUAAUAC